AUUUUGAUGAAAUUAUUUGUAGACCAUGGCAAUACAAACAUGUUUUUCCAUCAUGAAUUUUUUGAAUCCAUAAAGCAGAGUUGCCAUGGUCAAUGCAGUCAUUACUUCAUUGUUCAUAUACUAAUUGAAGAAACCAAUCCCUGGUUCAUCAAACAUGGGACAAACAUGGAUGUGUGUGACAGGAUAACAUCACAAUUUACACAAAAAAUGAGGAUCAAAAUGCUCCAAAUCGAGUAGUGUGGCGUCCAUCAUCAGCAAAAUAUGUGGGGAACAAGAAGGAAAAAUGCACAUUGCACGAGUCGUCGCCGGAUCUGACGGAGGUCAUGGGUACCGGGCCGUGCUCCUUGACGUCCUUCUCUCCUCUGUGUCGUCUUCCUUGCGGAGGCACGCAUGGACGCGGUCGUGGGGGCGCCGCUGCUCGUCGCUGCCUAAGCCUCGGUACCGCCGCCCCCACACGCUUCCUCGAGCUUGAGGCUCCCCCAGUAGCCACGUGCUACCGCCGCCGCCCAGCACCUCCGCGGACACCUCCCCCCGGCCGUGGUCGAGCUUCCCUGAACUGGUCUGCCAUGAGUAGUCGCCGCCAUUCCCCCACGAGCAGUCGUCGCCGCUCACCCACCGCAAGCAGCACCUCCGCGGACUCAUCACCCUCCUCUUGGCCCCUGCUAUCCCUCCGGUGGGGGGACCUGGUCAGUGACGGCCCUCGCCGCUGUACUUCUCCAUGUACCGAGCGAGAGGGGUGGGAUUUCAGUCAGAGAGCGGUGGGAAAAAGGGGAUGCAGAU
Molecule: ribosomal RNA, 780 nt
Filed under: Triticum aestivum (bread wheat)
Lineage: Eukaryota; Viridiplantae; Streptophyta; Magnoliopsida; Poales; Poaceae
Description: partial small subunit ribosomal RNA
Source: RNAcentral